UGCUAUACAUGCAGUCGAACGAGUUCUGAUUAUUGAAAGGUGCUUGCAUCUUGAUUUAAUUUUGAACGAGUGGCGGACGGGUGAGUAACACGUGGGUAACCUGCCCUUAAGUGGGGGAUAACAUUUGGAAACAGAUGCUAAUACCGCAUAAAUCCAAGAACCGCAUGGUUCUUGGCUGAAAGAUGGCGUAAGCUAUCGCUUUUGGAUGGACCCGCGGCGUAUUAGCUAGUUGGUGAGGUAACGGCUCACCAAGGCAAUGAUACGUAGCCGAACUGAGAGGUUGAUCGGCCACAUUGGGACUGAGACACGGCCCAAACUCCUACGGGAGGCAGCAGUAGGGAAUCUUCCACAAUGGACGCAAGUCUGAUGGAGCAACGCCGCGUGAGUGAAGAAGGCUUUCGGGUCGUAAAACUCUGUUGUUGGAGAAGAAUGGUCGGCAGAGUAACUGUUGUCGGCGUGACGGUAUCCAACCAGAAAGCCACGGCUAACUACGUGCCAGCAGCCGCGGUAAUACGUAGGUGGCAAGCGUUAUCCGGAUUUAUUGGGCGUAAAGCGAGCGCAGGCGGUUUUUUAAGUCUGAUGUGAAAGCCCUCGGCUUAACCGAGGAAGUGCAUCGGAAACUGGGAAACUUGAGUGCAGAAGAGGACAGUGGAACUCCAUGUGUAGCGGUGAAAUGCGUAGAUAUAUGGAAGAACACCAGUGGCGAAGGCGGCUGUCUGGUCUGUAACUGACGCUGAGGCUCGAAAGCAUGGGUAGCGAACAGGAUUAGAUACCCUGGUAGUCCAUGCCGUAAACGAUGAAUGCUAGGUGUUGGAGGGUUUCCGCCCUUCAGUGCCGCAGCUAACGCAUUAAGCAUUCCGCCUGGGGAGUACGACCGCAAGGUUGAAACUCAAAGGAAUUGACGGGGGCCCGCACAAGCGGUGGAGCAUGUGGUUUAAUUCGAAGCAACGCGAAGAACCUUACCAGGUCUUGACAUCUUUUGAUCACCUGAGAGAUCAGGUUUCCCCUUCGGGGGCAAAAUGACAGGUGGUGCAUGGUUGUCGUCAGCUCGUGUCGUGAGAUGUUGGGUUAAGUCCCGCAACGAGCGCAACCCUUAUGACUAGUUGCCAGCAUUUAGUUGGGCACUCUAGUAAGACUGCCGGUGACAAACCGGAGGAAGGUGGGGAUGACGUCAAAUCAUCAUGCCCCUUAUGACCUGGGCUACACACGUGCUACAAUGGAUGGUACAACGAGUUGCGAGACCGCGAGGUCAAGCUAAUCUCUUAAAGCCAUUCUCAGUUCGGACUGUAGGCUGCAACUCGCCUACACGAAGUCGGAAUCGCUAGUAAUCGCGGAUCAGCACGCCGCGGUGAAUACGUUCCCGGGCCUUGUACACACCGCCCGUCACACCAUGAGAGUUUGUAACACCCGAAGCCGGUGGCGUAACCCUUUUAGGGAGCGAGCCGUCUAAGGUGACAGA
Molecule: ribosomal RNA, 1459 nt
Filed under: Lacticaseibacillus rhamnosus
Lineage: Bacteria; Bacillati; Bacillota; Bacilli; Lactobacillales; Lactobacillaceae
Description: bacterial SSU rRNA
Rfam family: Bacterial small subunit ribosomal RNA
Source: RNAcentral